This 220-nucleotide long non-coding RNA is filed under the name Lathyrus oleraceus (garden pea). RNAcentral describes it as "Pisum sativum (pea) long non-coding RNA (PSAT_LNC039386)". Lineage: Eukaryota; Viridiplantae; Streptophyta; Magnoliopsida; Fabales; Fabaceae. The record is from RNAcentral.
AGUGAUGUCAUUUCUGUUUGUUGAAAAAAGGUCUUUUGAAUCGGGGAGAUUCAAAGUCCACCAUAUAUUUAGUGCUUAUGUUGAAAGAUUGUAAGAGAAGUCUUGGUGUGAGGCUUGUACAAAGAUCUAACAUAAUGAAAUCUUUCACGUGUGUGAAAGGACUAGACUACCCUUAUUUGAAAAGGGGAAUCAGGAUAUAUCUUUGUGUUCUUUAUUGUUU